GUGCUCACUUUAGCAGCACAUAUGGUAAAUUUGGAAUAAUACAGAGAAGAUUAUCAUGGCCCCUGUGCAAGGAUGACAUGCAAAUUCAUGAAGCGUUGCUAUUUUUU
Small nuclear RNA from Vombatus ursinus (common wombat), 107 nucleotides. NCBI's taxonomy places the organism in Eukaryota, Metazoa, Chordata, Mammalia, Diprotodontia, Vombatidae. The record is from Ensembl.